Molecule: ribosomal RNA, 754 nt
Filed under: uncultured archaeon
Lineage: Archaea
Description: bacterial SSU rRNA
Rfam family: Archaeal small subunit ribosomal RNA
Source: RNAcentral
GGGUAACGUGCCCUAAGGUGGGGGAUAAUCUCGGGAAACUGAGGAUAAUACCCCAUAGGUCUGAUAUGCUGGAAUGCUUUCAGGCCGAAAACUCCGGUGCCUUAGGAUUGGCCUGCGGUCUAUCAGGCUGUAGUGGGUGUAAUGGACCCACUAGCCCGUGACGGAUAUGGGCCUUGAGAGAGGGAGCCCAGAGAUGGACUCUGAGACAUGAGUCCAGGCCCUACGGGGCGCAGCAGUCGCGAAAACUUCGCAAUGGGGGCAACCCCGACGAGGGAAUUCCAAGUGCCAGCACUUUGUGUUGGCUGUUCUCCUGUCUAAAAAACAGGAGGAGUAAGGGGCGGGUAAGACGGGUGCCAGCCGCCGCGGUAAUACCCGCGCCCCUAGUGGUGGUCGAUAUUAUUGAGCCUAAAACGUCCGUAGCCGGUCUUCUAAAUCCUUGGGUAAAUCGGGCAGCUUAACUGUCCGAAGUCCGGGGAGACUGGGAGACUUGGGACCGGGAGAGGUCAGAGGUACUUCUGGGGUAGGGGUAAAAUCCUGUAAUCCCGGAAGGACCACCGGUGGCGAAGGCGUCUGACUAGAACGGAUCCGACGGUGAGGGACGAAGCCCUGGGGCGCAAACGGGAUUAGAUACCCCGGUAGUCCAGGGUGUAAACGCUGCGGGCUUGGUGUUGGGGGUCCUUAGUGGGCGCCCAGUGCCGGAGAGAAGUUGUUAAGCCUGCUGCUUGGGGAGUAUGUCCGCAAGGAUGAAACUUAA